Molecule: ribosomal RNA, 253 nt
Filed under: uncultured bacterium
Lineage: Bacteria
Description: partial 16S ribosomal RNA
Rfam family: Bacterial small subunit ribosomal RNA
Source: RNAcentral
GACGUAGGGCGCGAGCGUUGUCCGGAUUUAUUGGGCGUAAAGAGCUCGUAGGCGGCUCGUUGCGUCGGCUGUGAAAACCCGCAGCUCAACUGUGGGCUUGCAGCUGAUACGGGCGGGCUGGGAUUCGGUAGGGGAGACUGGAAUUCCUGGUGUAGCGGUGAAAUGCGUAGAUAUCAGGAGGAAUACCGAUGGCGAAGGCAGGUCUCUGGGCUGACACUGACGCUCAUGCACGAAAGCGUGGGGAGCAAACAGG